AGAGUUUGAUCCUGGCUCAGGACGAACGCUGGCGGCGUGCCUAAUACAUGCAAGUCGAACGAGAAUUUUUUACACCGAGUGCUUGCACUCACCGUAAGAAAUUCGAGUGGCGGACGGGUGAGUAACACGUGGGUAACCUGCCCAAAAGAAGGGGAUAACAUUUGGAAACAAAUGCUAAUACCGUAUAACCAUGAUGACCGCAUGGUCAUUAUGUGAAAGGUGGUUUUGCUAUCGCUUUUGGAUGGACCCGCGGCGUAUUAACUAGUUGGUAGGGUAACGGCCUACCAAGGUAAUGAUACGUAGCCGAGUUGAGAGACUGAUCGGCCACAAUGGGACUGAGACACGGCCCAUACUCCUACGGGAGGCAGCAGUAGGGAAUCUUCCACAAUGGGCGCAAGCCUGAUGGAGCAACGCCGCGUGAAUGAAGAAGGUCUUCGGAUCGUAAAAUUCUGUUGUUAGAGAAGAAUAUGAGUAAUAGUAACUGAUUAUUCACUGACGGUAUCUAACCAGCAAGUCACGGCUAACUACGUGCCAGCCGCCGCGGUAAUUC
RNAcentral lists this ribosomal RNA (550 nucleotides) under uncultured bacterium. RNAcentral's name for it is "bacterial SSU rRNA". It matches the Rfam family "Bacterial small subunit ribosomal RNA", at positions 8 to 526 of the family's 1533-position model. The record is from RNAcentral.